AAUAAGGAAUCAUAGCUCUCACCUGGAUUCACGUGGUCAGUCUGUCAUGCCUGACAAGAACAAGCACAUCCUGGCGCUACAGUUCAGUUGGAAGAAUGGAAUGAAACCCAAAGGCAGCACCUUCGUUGGCGUCAGUCCUGAAUUUGAGUUUGCUCUUUAUACCCUGUGUUUCCUGGUCUCACCCAAUGAGCGUGUCAGUGUUCUUCGGUAUCUAUGAGGUGGAAGUCGUCUGUCACCACUAUAACAAGAAGCAUAUCGGCACAACCUACCCUGUUCUUGUGAAGUACCAAAACGAAGAAAAAACACUAAUCAAAUACACUCUCAUCCAAGUGUCACGAGUAUUGUUUUUAUAUUUUUCAUUUAAAUAAAGAUGCAAUAAAUCUG
Molecule: long non-coding RNA, 384 nt
Organism: Salvelinus namaycush (lake trout)
Lineage: Eukaryota; Metazoa; Chordata; Actinopteri; Salmoniformes; Salmonidae
Exons: 2
Source: RefSeq, a predicted model, not a curated record